GCUGCAACAUAGCUCAACUGGUAGAGCAUGGGACUCCUAAUCUCUGGAUCAUGGGUUCGAGCCCCACAUGGGGCA
Podarcis lilfordi (Lilford's wall lizard) is the source of this 75-nucleotide non-coding RNA. Lineage: Eukaryota; Metazoa; Chordata; Lepidosauria; Squamata; Lacertidae. The record is from the annotation of a GenBank genome assembly.